Non-coding RNA from Rhinopithecus roxellana (golden snub-nosed monkey), 1149 nucleotides. The record is from the annotation of a RefSeq genome assembly. NCBI's taxonomy places the organism in Eukaryota, Metazoa, Chordata, Mammalia, Primates, Cercopithecidae.
CAGCUGGCGCCAGGGUCGGCUUUCCCCACAUCUGCACUCCUUCUGCUGCAGGCCUGAGCUCUCCAUGCCCCUGGCUAUUUCCUGCAUAGGGCCUGCUCUCAGUGGCCAAAGGAGGGCGCUGGAGAAUGGACCUGAGCAGACAGGCAGGAGCUCCUCUGCUGGUCCUCCCAGGCACCACCCCUUCUGGAAGGAAGGCAUGGGAGUCCCCUAAGACAGAUCCUCAGUCACUUCUCUCUGCCUGGUCCUCCUACUGUCUUCUAUGCUAGGGAUCACUUCCUUGUUGAGUGGCACCUGAAUUUUGAGAGGUUCCUCUGCUCCUCUUCAUCUGACCCCUUUCCUUCCAAGGCCCCACAGAGGAAGGCAUGCGGUGGGCCCUAGCCCUGCUUCUAGCUCUCCUGUCUCCUGCCAGUCAGAAAUCUUCCAACUUGGAAGGGAGAACAAAGUCAGUCACCAGGCCAGCUGGGUCAUCUGCUGAAAUAACUUGUGAUUUUUCCGGAGACAGUAACUUCUACAUCCACUGGUACCUACACCAGGAGGGGAAGGCCCCACAGCGUCUUCUGUACUAUGACUCCUACUACUUCAAGGUUGUGUUGGAAUCAGGAAUCAGUCCAGGAAAGUACGAUACUGCAAGCACAAGGAAGAGCUGGAAUUUGAGACUGCAAAAUCUAAUUGAAAAUGAUUCUGGGGUCUAUUACUGUGCCACCUGGGACAGGCACCAUGAUUCAGACCUGCCCUACACCACACUAAAAAUCUGCCUGUGGUUGCUUCUGGUAAGAUAGACCAGCCAACUCUUAUUUCCUGCCCUGAAUUUACUGUAUUCUGUACAAAGAGAAACACAGCUUAACUCCUGACCUCCCCCUAAUAUCACAUUCUCCUGGCAGCAGCUGCCGCCUGUUCGCCACCCUCCCCCAGAACUUUCCUGAAGACCAAGCUGCCAUCUCCAGGCCUCAGCUAAGCAGCCUGACUGAGAGCAAGGUUCUCUUAGCUCUCCUAGGACAUGGGCAAGGCCCACUCAAUCUGCUUCCUAGGACAGACAGGUAAACCUAGAGUCCAGCUGUGAAGCAAGAUAUUUUGGACAGCAAAUGGGGAGGGUGUUUUUACUGAAUCAUGUAUCCAAUCAUGGUCCAGAGAUCACAGCUGAGAGUGGCG